Molecule: ribosomal RNA, 729 nt
Filed under: Triticum aestivum (bread wheat)
Lineage: Eukaryota; Viridiplantae; Streptophyta; Magnoliopsida; Poales; Poaceae
Description: partial small subunit ribosomal RNA
Source: RNAcentral
AUGCUUUCAUCAUCUGCUGCUUCUUUUUCCUUGCAAACAGUUCCAUGUUUACAUUCUACAUUGCCCGCAGAGGAAGCCGCCUCGCCGCCGAGGCAUCGACACCGGGCUGUCCAUGCCGGUGCUGCCGGAAACAGGCCGCCGUUGGUACCUUGCAGGUUCCGACGGGGCGCUUGUUACCCGGCCGCCGCGUUCAGGCUUGCGGUGAUGGCUGCGCUUGUCGAGCCAAGCGACGAUGUCGGCAAAGACCAGCUCCACAUUGUCGUCGGGCUCGCCGGCGGUGAGGCCGUGCCACAUCCCCGGGUAGAGCUUGAUGGUCUUGUCGGCGCUGGCGGCCCGGUCGUACAGCGCGCGGCUGACCUCCGGGUCGGUCACGGUGUCCGCCUCGCCGUGCAGGAUGAAGAAGGGCAUCCUGACCUCGGACAGGCUGUCCUCGACGUCCAUGCUGGUCCUCAGCAGCUCCAGCGCCGUCUUGAGCCGCGGCUUGUCCUGGUAGAUGAGCUUGUUCCUCCUGAUCUUUUCGCGCUUGACGGGGUCCUUGAAGGCGGAGUCGAUGACGUCCUUGGUUGGGACGAUCUUCCAGGUCGGGAUGAGCUCCUCCACCUGCGUCAGGAGGGUCACCACCACCGGAUGCGGCUUCACCUUCUCCGAUAUCUGCACCACCAAAAGCAACAACCUGCAUUUGAGCUAGCAGGCAGAGGCAGGCAUUGCAGUUCAAGUCCAUUGCGGUAG